GUUCUCCUGAAACCUCCAUGACUCUGAAGCUCACUGCCCCAAGGCAAAGGAGAACAGUCACCCGGGCUUUUGGCGCAGCACUUUUUGGUCAUCACCAACCAAAUUUUAUGUUGCCACUUGCCCGGCGAUAGAAUCGUCUCCAUCUCCCCGACACCACAAAAUCACGAAGAAGAAAGGUCUACAACAGUACUUCUGUGUUGUAUUAAGUACCAAUCAAAUAUUUCUUGAGGGAGUGUACCAGAACUGAUUAAAAUCUGCCAGCAUUUUCACCCAAAUGUGCCUUGAAGUCAAGUAAUAUGAAUGACCCAUGGAUUCCUUUAUUUUUAUUUUGGAUCAUUUUAUUUUCCUUAUGACCACAGGAGAAAUCUGUGGUCAGAACUUCCUCCUGGAGAACUUUAAUAACAAGAACUGAUUCAUCUUUUAUGAGAGAAGCUGUCAACAUGGCAGAAAGCCAGACGUGAAAAACUAGACCCCGGGACAUUACAGCAGUUUCCUACAACGGCCAUAACAAACUACCACACACUGGGUGGCUUAAAACAAUGGU
This is a long non-coding RNA of Neofelis nebulosa (Clouded leopard), 544 nucleotides long. RefSeq lists it as uncharacterized. The transcript has 3 exons. The record is from RefSeq and is a predicted model, not a curated record. Lineage: Eukaryota; Metazoa; Chordata; Mammalia; Carnivora; Felidae.